CAAAAACUACUGGGCUGUUCAGGACUAAUAGUGUUUUAAAGGAAAAGACGACAGAUGUCGCAGCAUGGCAUAAGCUCACCAGUAGCUAAAAGGCAAUAAAAAUCAAGAAAUUACACUUCCAUCAUUUCACCUUGGUAUAACGAAGGACAUGUAUUUCAAACCACAAGUACAAGAUCACAUUUUUAUAUAAAAUUUGUUCUCAUGUUUUAAAAGGAAUUCACCUAUCAAUUUUGAAAAUUAUUUGUUUGAAAUUGUUUACUUUUAUCCAAACAAAACAACAAUUUGAAAAUUGGCAGUAACAUUGUGCACUAAUUAACACUUUGUGGCAUAAUUGGGGAAAACACAAGUCAUCAGUCAAUCUGUAGAAAGUAUUAAUUCACAACAAUUGUUUCCCAAGGUGGUAGUAAUUUGCUGCAAUCUUGUACAAGGUUUAGCCAAAAAACACUUCAUAACAAACUAUAUGUUAAACGCUUGGCAAUUACCAUAACAAACUAUAUGUUAAACGCUUGGCAAUUACUAUGUAUAUCAUGCCAUAAGUUGUGCAUUUGGAGGAAAAUCAGGGGAGGUAACUCUGAAAAUCAAAUAAUAAAAGAAAUUUUUUUUUUCUGGUGUAAAAACAACAAAAGUAGUGACAGAUUUUAUUGUCUAAGCCAUACUACAAUUGAAUUAAGAAUACAAUCUGCUAAUUGGUAUCAUUCAUAUAUCAAACAAGUAUACAAAAUAUACAUAUUUAUUUUUAAUACCAUAAAUAGCAAAUAAAUAUACUUCCUCAGGUUUCCACAAACUGGCCAGAAAGGUAUUAUGAACUGUAAAUGAACUGUGAAGAAUUUAAUUAUAUUUAAGACAUCUAUAAUUAAUCUUUAAUGAAAAACUGACAGCAUAUAAAUUCAAAAGCUGGACUUACAAUUGUAUGUUUUAUUGCAUGACAUUGGGCUUGGACCCUAUUAAAGACAAAUUAACAUGAUACCUAGUUUACAUGACAUUGGGCUUGGACCCUAUUAAAGACAAAUUAACUUGAUACCUAGUAUACAUGACAUUGGGCUUGGACACUAUUAAAGACAAAUUAACAUGAUACCUAGUUUACAUGACAUUGGGCUUGGACCCUAUUAAAGACAAAUUAACAUGAUACCUAGUAUACAUGAACAUUUUAAGACAAUGCUGUGAAAUCACAUUUUCAAUAUUUGCCUUAAUGACUCAUUAUGGUACCCAGGUUUACAAACACUGGCUACUGGGACAGACCAACGAAAUGUUAACACUUGUUACUAUUCAUAAACGAAAAUGGCAAACUCUAAAAAAUUGGAAAAUCAAUUGUGACAGAAAUGAGACAAUUUAUUGGAAAUCUUCACACAUGGAAAAUUCAGUUAAGGAAAAUCUUAAAAUGACACCAAACAGGUGAGAAUUCUUAAGGUGGGUAACAAAGUUCUAUCUUCAAUAUGAUUCAAAGACUACGAUAAAAUGUCUGCUAAAACCGUUGAUCACAUCAGACAAUGCUGUAUACUGAUUACAGUACAAUGUAUAGAAAGUCAUACAUUGGUCUGAUAUAAAUUCACAACAUCAUGAACAAUCACAAUGAACCAUAAAAGGUAACACAAAUUUGAUCUU
Long non-coding RNA from Mizuhopecten yessoensis (Yesso scallop), 1602 nucleotides. RefSeq lists it as uncharacterized. The transcript has 2 exons. The record is from RefSeq and is a predicted model, not a curated record. Lineage: Eukaryota; Metazoa; Mollusca; Bivalvia; Pectinida; Pectinidae.